GCAGAUUAAGUUUCUCAGGCGAAACCUCCCGUCCUUCCGCCCUCCGCCCUCCCUUCUUCCACCGACGUCCUCCCCAACCAGGGAGAAACCUUCCCCAGAUCCUGCUGCUGCAGCCCCACUUCGUCAGCUCCGGCGGGGAAAGUCCAGGCCGUCUUUCAGGGCUCCAGUUGAGGGACUUUCUCCCCGCCCUCCUAACCUCUUCGCUCCCCCAGAACAACCCGCCGUCUCAGUUCUCCUUCCUCGUCUCAGCCUAUUUCCCCAAACGACGCCGAGAGAUCGACGCCGCUGAAACGCACCGGGAAGGGAAUUCAGGUAACUAGCAACUGGGCCCUUGGGGAGACGCAGGGAAAGGGCGGGGAGCCCUCGUCCUGUUGGCACGCGUUUACACGAAAGCGGUGUCGGCAGACCACUAGGACCAGACCAGGCACUUGACUCCCUCCCUCGGCCCCUCUGGAGCUCUGCGCAGCCCCCUCCCGCAGCGCCACCGAGCCCUGGAGAGGCCGAAAGGGCCUGGCCUUGAGCAUAUUUGGCAGCCAAGGAAGGGAGUAGUCCCUGGGGCUCGGCGUUUCUCUGUGAUCUCCUGCUCCGGAGCGAGGGCCUCUUCCCGCACAAGGCUAGGAGAGGGGGCGGGUGGUUAGGAGCACUCAGUUAUCCCAGGAAAGGCGCGCGCACGGACCCGGACACACACACACACACACACACACACACACACACACACACACACACACACGGCUCUUUAACCUGCAGGUUCUUGAGAUAGGCAGGCAGUAGAGCUGGUAAUCUGGAUUGAAUGCGGGGCCCGAUCCCUCAUUCCACACCCUGAAAAACUGAGGUGUCGACACCAGCAGUCCGGAUAGAUCGGUUUCUCCGCCUCUGCUGUUGCGCCCUCGACGAGCUCCAACAAUAAUUAAGCCGAAUAUUUAUUUAGUUAUGACUCGGUUUUGUUUUACGGCAGGAUCCGCCUCCCAAUUUAAAAAGCGUCUUAAAUCGCUGUCUAGCACAAUCCUAUGUUUGUUCAGAAGUCCUGCUGCCUUCACUGAGGCUUGCUCCCAAGUAAAGUAUUCAUAGGAUUGCAGCCCUUAGUACCUUCCGGACCCACGCAGCUUCACUUCCAAGUUAGCAAAAGUUAGUGACCGGGUUGUAAAUUGAUUUUUGCUUGGAUUGCUAAACUGGCCCAAGGAUGUAGUCCUCAGGAUAUUAGGGUUUACUCGCGUGGUUCAAGGACCACUUAGAAGAUGCAGACGGUGAGUGUGGGGAGUCAGACUUAUAAAGUGGGAGGAUCCUGGCUAUGGCUGAUUACUCUCAAGUAAAUCCCACUGAUUUAAACGGGAUUGUCUUCUAAAUUGGCAUGCUUAGGUUUUCUGAGCAAUCAACGCCAAUGAGAGGCGCUUAAACCGGGUUUGGGAUCAGAAAGCUGCGGGGUACGUGUGUUCACGCAACCCUGUGUGUCAUAUACACGCCGUAUCUUGAUACCCAGAUCAUACAUGUUUACUUCGAAGACAGUGUUUUGGAAGAGUCCACCCCUGAGAAAGUAAAGGACUAGGGUUAUAAUUCUGAUGAGCAAUCAGAUUCAUUCAGAGUGACACAGGUUUUGCUGUUGAUUUUACUGGGAAACAGAUUUUACUGAUGAAACCCUAUUGAACUUUUCUUCCUUUUAAAUAGAGGUGCCAGUCUCUCAGGAUCUCUUCAGUUUUAAAGCUGGCACUUUGUUGUUUGGAAUAAGUAAAAGGAAAAGUUCCAUUUAUUUAUUUAUUUAAGAAAUGCCCUUAGCAAUAUGCGUUGCAAUCCAGCUCCACUAAAAUGAAUGGAGGUUUUGCCACUCUUUCCAAGUGGCGGUUUUAUAUAUAUGCUUGCACCCCGAUCGUCGGAACAUUUUAUCUGGAUGGAAAAUCCAAUGGAUGGUCAUUCCUUGGUUCCUGGUUCCCUGCAACGUCAUCCUUUUGUAUCGCGUUAGUUCCCACUAUGUUCAAUGAGGCUUAUUUGAGCCUGGAUUUGUCCCGUUCCCCUCCCCCCCCCCACUUAAGCCCAUUUCCUAAGCAUAAAGGUCUAGCCAGUGCGACUUACUUUUGGGUAAUUUCAGGAUCACCCUAUUAAUCGCAUCUUUGGUGGGGAGUUGUUAUCAGUCUCUUACCGUUCCAAUACGGGAGCUUUUUAAUUCCUGGUUUCUAGAUACUCUUUUUAAUGUGGGGGAAAUGGAAAGAGCCGGUGAGGAAGCUUCUUAGGGUUUACACUGCAGGAUCGCCCAGGCGUUUUCGUUCGUGCUCUCUUUCAAGGGAGCGGUCGCCACCACUUGGUCCCUCGGCUCUUAAACGGGAGUGAUCUGGAAACAAAGCGUCUUGGCUCCUUCACAUGAGGGUUGAUCCAAGCAUGGCGAGGUCCCGAUGGACAGAUGCACCGCUUUGUUUCUUCUCUAUGAUCGCAUGAACGUGAAACAAAAUAAAUCGGAAUAGCCCAGUGCCAAUCACCGGCCGGUGUCAUGGCUUGAUUUUAGCGACGGAAGGGAUCCAAUCUUCAAAAAGAUGUGGCUUGUUUUAUCACUUGUCAUUGUUCCUGUAGGUAAAAUACGGCCAAGGACGCCACAAAAAAUGCCUUCCUUUGUUCAUAAAACCGUGUUUAAUAUUAGUACAUAUAAAAAUAAAAAAUUGUCCAGUAGCACCUUAUAGACUUUGUUUCUUCUGGUAUAAUCUUUGAUGUGCAUGCACACUUCUUCAGAUACAUGCAUACGAAAGCUUAUACCAGAACAAACUUAGUUGGUCUAUAAGAUGCUACUGGACAUUUUUUUUAUUAUUAUUAUUUUCGACUGCGUCAGACCAACACAACCACCUACCUGAAAUCUAGAAUCAUUACAUAUAAUUACAGCCCAAACUACAAACCGGCCCAGUGAGAUGUUCUUGGAUCAGGUUCGUGGCUUUAAUGGGGACUGAAUUCAGCUCAGAUCCAAGCAGGAUCCCACUGAUUCCCCUAGAUUGUGGACUGUGCAGGAGAUCCACAACGCAGGUUAUCUGGCUGGAUCCGAAAGCCGGUGGGUCUUGAAGCAUCUAUUAGGCUUUAGUAAUCAUGUGCACAGUAACCUGGAAACGAGCCUUACUUCUGAGUAAACGUACAAAGGAUUAGGCUGGAAUCCUGCCAGAUGAGCUGGGUAUAAAUAAUAAAUUAUUAUUAUUCCUAUCCGCCUGUGCAUGUUAACACGGAAGUAAGUCGCAUUGAGCUGAAUGGCACAAGAUAUAUAUUCUUUGUUUUUCUAUGUUUAAUGUUUUAUUGUGUCUUUAUAUUUGUUGGAAGCCGCCCAGAGUGGCUGGGGCAAGCCCCAGCCAGAUGGGCAGGAUAUAAAUAGUAAAAUUAUCAUUAUUAUUAGUAGUAGUAGUAAGUUUCCUUAGAAGCUCCGGUUAUGUGCAAGGCAAUCCCACCAAUUAAAGGGGAAUCCUUGACUUUUAGUAUAAGGCAGUUAGAGAGUAAGAACCGGUGACUGAUCGUGGCUUAGUUUUGUAUGGUUUUGUGGUGACACAACACUUGCAGCGCAAAUCUAUAGGUCAUAGAUGGCUCAUCAAAAGUCAGCCCCGUUAAGUUCAAUAGGACUUUCUACGAAGCAAGAGGACUGGCGCCUUAUUUGCAAGCAAGUUCCAGAGGGAAUUUUGGAAAAUAACAAAAAGGGUUUUGUACUCAGGCAGAGGAGCCGGUGGGUGCUUCAGACAACCCUUCGCCCACUCCCAUUAGCGGGUCCCUGGGGUGAGGCUGAGGCUGCCUCUGCAAUGCGUCUCUCUUCCUCCUGCGAAUGUGUUUUGACAGUCCUCGCCACACUCCCGAAUUCUGGAGAGUUUCUUCCCAUCACAACUGACCCACCCUCUUCGCCUGCAGCCUCGCGGGAUUCAGGAGGACUUGCUCUCAAGCUAGUCUUCGGCUUAAAUGGCCCCAGCUUGAAGACGCCCGUGGUGCAAACAAACAAACAAACAGCCUUGGCAAAGGCUCCAACUAAACCGGGGUGGGACAGGGGGAGGGAGCGGGCUCCGGCCUUCCUGGCCUCUGAUGAAUGGAAGUGGCUUUUUCUUUCCAGACUCCUCGCUCCCCUUGCCCCCACAGCCUUUGAUAGGUCUCUUUUCUUGUCUUUUAAGCGCUUGUUUUUAAUUGUGACCCUGGGCUGGUCCACGAAGUCUCCUGUUGGGAGUUGUUAGCGGUGGCUGCCUUAGUUGGGCAGGACCUCCCAAGUGGCUCCGGCCGGCGUGCCAGAGAAAGGGAGACUCUGCUCAUCGUCCAGUCGCGCUCCCAUCAAAGUCCCCCGGACCGAGGAGCCUGCAGGGCGCGCUCGGAGGCGGCGGCGAGGAGAACAGUAAACAAUCGCCAGGCCCGCUCCCGCCACUCCCUCCCCAAUCCACACCACAGCGAGCGCGCUCUCACACAUACACAGAAACCAGCAAGCCUGAGCGAUCUCCCAUUUCCAGAGAGAUCUAAAAUCUUACAUCGUUUCUCUGUAACUUUUUGAGAAUACAGAGUGAUUUAGAUUUCCCACUGGUUUGACAAGGUGACUAUAAUUUAUCGUGCGCGCGAAGGAAAAAGUUGUUGUGGUUGUCCUCGUCGUUGUUGUUAGCCGAUACGCUUCUUUUUCAUAUAGGAAGGGAAUUAUAGUGGGUGUAGGAGCCAACGGUAUCCUAGGGACCGAGGUCCCCUCCCCCCACAAAAUAUUUGAGGAGGCUACCGCCCCCAAAAUGUUGGUUGGCAUUGCCAUUCAAAUGGUGUGCAUGCAUGAUCCGUUACGCGAAGCGGGGCUUACCUGCCCCCCAAUAUUUCAUUCAAAUUAGCAUCCCUGAUAGUGGUGAUUACCAAAUUGGCGGUGGGGAAUCUGAAGUGCCCAUCAUUGCCCAGAAUUGAUUAGGGUUGCUCUGACGUAACUUUCCAUUCUGUUCAAUGGGACCUACUCCAAAAUUAAUGUGCGUAGGAUUACCAUACUUAGUUCUGAGGAAACAUCUAUAUGCUGUGAGGCUGCAAUCCUGCGUGCACAGUUUUCGCUCAUUUCUGUACUUGAGGGAAAGCGCUUUGGAAAGCACUUGGACUUGCUUCUGAAUAAGCAUUCCUGGCACUGAGACCAAAUUGCCUUUAAAAUGAAUGCAGAUAGAUAGAUAGAUAGAUAGAGACUUCACAUGGAUUGGCUUGCUUGAAAGUGUUGUGUAAAUUGAAGUACUGUAGUAAUAAUAAUAAAUAGUAUCUGAUAGUACAGAUUCGGCAGGUUGAGAUCCAAAACUCGUUUACUUGCAAGUAUGGCCCUGUGAAAUCACCCAGCUCAAUGGCAUUUAGCCCAGGAGCCGGCGAUGGUUAUUAAGGUUAGUACCAAUAUCCUUCCAAUGGAAAGAUUGUAGAAAUCAUCCUUUAGCUGUGCUUACGCUGUUUAGUUACUCUGGAGCCGCCUUGAGUCUUUCCAAUCAACCGAGGCUGGGACAGGGUAAGGUUUGCUGCCUCAGGUUUUGAUAGGUACCCAACAGAAUAGAGCGAAUUUUAUGAAUAAGAAGUUUUGUUCUUGUCCUGUACACAGAUCUGCUAUACCUCUUAGAUUACGUUGGCUCCACUCUUCACCAUCCCAACCCCCCAUACAAGUGUGUAUAUGUACAAAGCACCUUGCAUAUUACCAGGUGAGGUAAUAAAUCCGCUGGCCUUUAAGUGGGCACAAGCUGCUCUUUGCUAUUCGGGAUGAUUUCAGAUGGACUGACUCCCAGGUUGUGUGCCAGAGAAAGAUUUUCAUAAAAAACCGUUCCUUCCAAGUUCAAUGAGAUUUUCUCCCAAGUACCCUCAUUGUAGCCAAAUCGAAUGGAUUUCAGUUCAAAAAAGGUGACCCAUCAUUUAAUGGUGUUCACAUGCCGAUUUUUUCCUUAAAGAAACACUCUUUUCUUCCAAGUGAAGGUCAAUUUAUUUAAAUUUAAAUUACUUAUAAGCAAGCAGGUUACUAUUUGUAGCAACUACAAAGUCAGUUUCGGUUCCAAUCAUCUACUGUUCAGAUUUCCCUAUCCUCAGAACUGCACUUAAAGACGGAGAAAAAUUUAAUGUGAAGUGGUUGAUUAAUCUAUUGAUCAGUUAAAGACAUGGUAGCUAGUGGAGCAAAUCCCUCUAACAGUUCAGUUGAUACAAAUUUACUAACAUGGCCUCUUAAAGCUGCCCUCAAAUUCAUCUCUAGUUUUGUUUGCUAUGGGUGUUCCCUUAGCUUGCUUAAAAAAAAAAAGAGGAAAUGAAUCACUAAAAACCUUUCAUUGAUUAUAAUAGGCCUAACCACAGCCCAAAUCAAGGCUGGCGGUCUUUGGGACUGUCAUGCGACCAUACCAAGUUCCUCAUUUGAGUUACAACGAAAUUUCCACUAGAAACGCAAGUGCAAUUUUUAAAGUCACUAAGGCUGAGACAAACAGACUGACUUGAAAGUAGAUCCCGGGGGCACAUCCAAGUAAAUGCACUGAAGGUAAUCAAUUCUAUUCCAUUUGAAAUACAGAGUCUGGAAUAAAUUCUACAAUGGGCUUUGUAGAAUUAAGGAGAGCAAAGUAUGGGGAUCUGAAUAGCAGUACAAACAUCUGACCGCUGCUUUGCUCUUAGUAAAUACAACCGAUCCACAGCCUUGCUAAGCCGAAGGACAAGGAUUCAUGCCCGUCCCGCGUCCCCCAUGCUGAAGUAAGCUGAACUAGCAUUGCACCUCACAAAUUUGGGAAUAAAUCCCAUUGAUUAGAAAGGUUUUGCAAGUGGAUCCUGAGGAAACUUCCUUGGAAACUUCUUGCUCUGAAUAAUCAGUGGGACUGAUACAACAGCUCCGUCCAGAAAACCACUAUUAUUGGUUAGGAUUGCAAUGCCAUUUUUCAAGAGAUGUGUGCAGAAUUCAGCUGUUAUUUGGAAGUCUGCUUGAAUGCAGGCACUUCGGUUUAAGUGCGCCGGGCUUCUAUUUUUGGUUGCUGUACUUCGUCUGUAGCAAUGCUCAAGAAAAUAAAAAGAGCAACCACCGAGUCAAGGCCUGAAUUUUGUUUCUUUCGAAACCAGAAAUUGCAGCAGUUCCUUGAGACGAACCUCUAGGUUUGGGGACCCGUUGUUGCAAUCGUUUCCCAGCCAGAUCCUCUCCCUCUCCUUGUCUAGGCUAGUUAGGGAAUUACUGGCUCAGUCUUAAUGCUGGAAUCAAAGCGCCACCACCCUGGCGCUCGAGCGGGUCUGUAAAUCACAACUAUGCGAACAAGGAACAAAGAGGGUGGAGUUAGGGGAGUGCGGUAAAUUGCAUGUAACGGCGACGGCUAUUAAGGCGUUUUGUAAUCGUUUACACCUGAGAAUUGGUUUACUCCGCCGGCGAUUUGAAACAUUAAAUGCGUCGUUAUUCUAUAUCAUGACUGUAUACAGACAAAUCGAGGAGCCUUAUGGGCAAUUUCGAUGGUUUUGAGUGCCCAUAAAAUGCUAUGUAGUUCAAGGGGCUGCGCAUUUACAGACCUCUCUCCCCAACUACCCCCGCUCUCCUUCCGCCCCUCCUGGAAGUACUCUUGAAAGCAUUUCCACUGGAGUUAGGAAUGUCAGAAACUUGUGAAAUAUGAAGAACUUGUAUGGGAAACGCUCGCGACGCAGAGGCAAGGUCUGAAAAGAGGCGUCUGCUCGGGCUACUGGAGUUAUUCUCCUUCAGGAUGGCCUCUCGUCCGUUUCAUAACUGCGAUCCGCAAUCACUCAACUCAUGGGCCGAGCUUUGAAGCGAAGAGGAUGCAGAGGGGGUUGCUAGUUCCUGUGGAAUCGACUGCCACUUGAUCCGGAUCGGGCCAUCCACACGCACCCUGCUUUUCAGAAGAGCACGAUCGAAACUGUGCAAAAACUCCUUAAUUGUUUUCUUUCACUGGCGCAUUGCUAUCAUUGUAAUAAUUCAGUUUUCUUGCUCCCCCCCCCUUGUACUAUGCCCACUACCCCCUCCCUCGUUUAUGGCAGAUUAUCAAACCCUUCAUGGAAAAACUCGGUUUCCCAAUAGCAAUGACGUUCAGAUGCUUCUUCAUUUUCCCUCUCCCUCCCUGGCACAAUCAUAGCAUAGGACCCAGCACAAGGGAAAUGAUUCAAUUCCAAAUACGUUUGUUUGAAAGCAAGUUUCACUUUGUUCAGCGGCGUUUGCUUUCAAAGAAGCAUGCAUAGGAUCGCUGCUUUUCAAAGCACUGCUUUCAAGUUCAGGAAAGGGAGGCCGCCUCAGUCAACAGACAAACCCGAGGACUGGAAUUAAACUUCACCGGAUGCUGCCAAAGCCAAACAUUUCAGUAAUCAACAACCAGAAAAGGAUCAAGAUGUAUUUUCUGCCCGAGGCAGGAAAUCCGAAUGCUACCCCGCGCUAAGACUAUAAUAUUGACUUAAAUAAGAGUUAAUUAUUUAACUGCCUAAUGGUAAAGUCAGCAGACAAAAGCCAACAACAGGAUUCUUACAACUCUGUCCCACCCCCGCGGCAAUCUAACUCAAGAAGAAGGUAGAAACCGCGGUCACAUUGUGGCUCCUCCUGGGCACUUAAUCUGUGUUAAGCACCCAGGCCAUGAGGUGAGCUAAACAUAUUCUUCUGGUAUAUAUCUGAGGAGUUGUGCUGCAGCCUGUUUGGAAGUGUAUUGCUUAAAACAAAAAACGUUUUAAAAUAAGCUACAGCUUAUGUUUCCCCCCCCCCCCCUAAACAUCCCCAUUGUUUUCUGUUAACCUAAUAGAACUGGUUAGGUUAACUGGUUAACAGAACUGAGACUCUCAAGUAGACAGGCUGACACCACUUUAAAACAGCCCUGCAGUCCAUCCAUGCCCAUCCCUAUUGCAUUACUGCAGACCUAUUGCAGUAUUAUAACCUGAUCUUCCGUGGACUACAUUGGAGCAGAUGACGUCUUCUUUUAAGGUAUCCCAGCAUGGCUUCCUACUCGCAGCUGGCUCAUAACUCCGUCGUUUCGAGGAUCCUGCGGCUCUUCCUUCGAAGGCUUUGCCCAGUCCCGAAUGCUGGAGACUUUUAUGUUUUGCUAUCUUGGUUUUAAAAGGCGUGCAGAAUACCUGCUCCUGCCUCCCAUAAACCUGAAAUGUAAUAACGGAGAAGAAAUCCACCUUUUCGUGGUUAAAGUGUUGUAAAACUUAACUGGGCCGCUCCGGGUGAUCUUAACUGUGUGCAGAGCACCCGAAGCACCGAUGUGGAUCCAAUGAGAUUUUUGCUUCCCAGUAACUUGGGAGUUGCAGCCAGCAGCAGACAGAUGAAUCCUCUAGCUCUGAUUUUCUGGGCGGGGGCUUUAUUCUUACCGGAUGUGGGGGAUGCAGGAAAGGCUCUGGACAGCAUAAAAAAAAUCCUACGUAUUUGAAACCAUUCAUUCAGGACAAAGCAUUUUCAAUUCAAUGCCAGCCCCCUUUUGCCCUCUAGUUCAGUGAAUCGAUGGGAGUUUUUGUUUGUUGGCUUGUUUUUAAUAAAAUAGCUGGCAGCUGGUUGAAAAAAAAGUUAAUUCUUUAAUCAACUGUUCGUUCAAGCUUGUUGGAGGAAACGAUAAUGCCAAUUCGAAAACACAAAUCCUGGGAAAUAGGACGCAAUAAUUCCGAUAUUAUAUUCUAGACUGAGCUGACAUGGGAGACGAUGGUUUCUCAUGAUUUUUUUCUUUUUUUAAAGAGGUGCUUGGGAUCCCGAUUCAAUCUUUCUGUUUUUGUGCUUGUGUCUAUGAGUUAUACUCUUUCGCUAAAUCCUGUUUAAGAUUCACUGUAAAAACCACUUGCCUUCAGUUUUAAAACCAUGCAUUUCGGGCACUCGGGAUUUAUGAUAAAUGAUGGCCUAUGUAUGGCUCAGGCAUUCAUCCCUGUUUUGUGGUGUGGUCUAAGCUGUUUCUCAAGUUCACCACUAUCAGCGACCGCUAAUGCACAGCCUAUGUAACCUAAUUACUUUCGUAACCAUUUAAAAUACAUUAAAAAGGCCUAAUGACACAUUUUAAAUAUCCAGUGCUGUCCUCAUUGACUAUAACACCACCCCUUUUCUCUUUUCUUCUAAUUCUUCGUGUCUUUUCGCCCCGUGUCCGGUUAAGAUUCUGAAAUGUCUGAAUACACAACAUAGAUCUUCUGCAUAGGUGAUGGAGCCCUGUUAGUCUGGGGUUUUGAAAGUCCCGUCACAUCCUGUUUUUAGUGGGAAGACUUCAUACAAAGGAAUCGUCAGGUAUGUAGAAGGGAAGAAGUAUUCAGCGGCAGACAUACUAUCGUUUUAUUUGCAUUCAUAACAAAUUAUUACAAAAUGAUUUUUAAAAUAAAAAUUACACCACCCUUUCAUUAAAAAAAUUAGAGAGACGUUUUAUGCAGCACGCUGAAAGAUGAAGGAUAGUUAUUCUUAAUAAAAUUAAUAAUUAGAUUUCUUACCUCCCCCAGGUAAGAAGCGAGGAGGAAUUCCAAUGAUUUUAAAAUACAUUAUUAUAAACAGUUAAAACAGGCUAUACUCAAGAGAAUUGUGUGUGCCCUAAAAUAAAUCUCUCAGGUGUUAAAGGCCAGGGUUUGUUGUGGGUUGAAAUGAAUGCAGAAGAAUGAUAAGAAUACUUUAUUUUAAAAGAAAAUUUUAAAAAGUUGAUAAAAGUAUGAACAACAUUGAGAAAGGAUUGAAAGAAUGAGGUCGAACUCCCUCCUCCCCUAAAUGUAAAUAAAUAAUCAUAUCCAUAAAAUUCACUCUUGGCGUGAGACUUGAUAUGUUAAUGUUCUGCCCAGAGCAAAUUUUUAUGUGUUAUAAAACUCUUCAAAGGAAGCAUUUUAUAAUGGAGACACUGACAGUUUCCAAAGAGUGCCUCCGUAAUAGUCCACGGAUUUUAGUUAUAUCGCUGGCGCAUAGACACCCCCACACAAUUGUAAGUAAGAUAAAUGAUUAACUGGUCCAUCAGCUAAACCAGAUUACCAUAUUCAAGAAGUAUGCCAUUAUACAUCCGAAGACAGGGAUGCAAUGAUCCUCAAGGUGUUUGCUCAGAAAUAAAUGGGACUCCUUCAUGACUUUAAAGAUUUCAGUCAAGUCUAGGAAAUAGCUUUCUUGUUAUCAAUGGCAACAUAUCAAAGAUGCUAUAGGGUUGCAGUCCAUUUCUGAAUAGGAUUACUCUGAAGAAACCGCCAGAAAAGCCAAGGGAGUACUUUCCCAGGAAGGCUGUUUCGGACUACGGCCUUACACAAUAGCGUCAGCAACACAUUCCUCUGUGCUCAGAUGUAACUCCCAUUGAGUUCAAUGGGGCUUACUUCCAGCCAAGUAAAUGAGUAUACAAUUGCAGCCUAAACUGCAUUUUCUGAGCUUCUCGUUUCUUUGUUUUUCCCUUAUCAAUACGACUUAGAAGCAUGCAUAUAUAUAUAUAUAUAUAUAUAUAGUGACCACUAUUAAGGCACCAGUCCUCCACAUGUUCACUUUAUGUGUGUGUGUUCCAUUGGACACUCUGAGACUUACUUCCGAGCAGGCAUGCGUAGGAUUGCACUUAAAAUAUAAUGCAACAACUUGAAUCAGGACCAACUGAGGCCCAUUCGGCAACCCUGUUAAACUACUGCCCACACAUAGGAUUGGCAUCAUGUGGGCAUCGCUGGGAUUCUCAACACAUUUUUCUUCAUUUCAGUUGGAUGUAGCGCCAAAAGAAAGCACUUUAGGCUUGACUGCAACUCCAGUCAUUGGCUUCGGUCGGUGGGUUUAAAGUUCUGGCCGUGCAAUUGCAACUCAGGGGGGUUGCGUGUGGAUUUGCAGCAGGACCGAGAAUCCUAUUCAAUCCGAGGAAUGCAGUUGAGGUGAAUUGGAUCGGCUAUGCGCAGGACGGAGCGUCCUCUGAUCCGCAGAAAGCAAAAAAGAGAGACGCAAAAUAAAAAUGCAAAAAGGCUGGGUGGACCUUAGUCGGUUAAAAACAACAACAGUACCGAACAGGAUAAGUAUGAGAAUACUGUAGCUACCUUUCGCAAAACUUUGCCUCAUUCUCUGUCUUUAAGGUGCCACGAGGUCCUCUUGCAACAGUAAAAUACAGCUAUCCUGCGGAAGACUCUCACUUUGUCUGUUACACAAAACUGGGGCGGGGGGGUGGCUUAAGUAUAUUUUUUCUAAUGGUUGCUCCUAGGGGGUCAUGAUAGAAGCCGCUUCCGCAGCGCACGAUAGUCUGGGUGAUUCAACGACAUUCUUAGCAGACCGGUUAGUUUUGUUUCUUCCCAGUGCAGAAGAUCACUGGCUGCACCAAAGCAAAUGGAAAUUAUUUUUCUUCUUUCUGACAUUAACAACCGGUCUGCGUUUUUGAGGAUACCCAGAGUUUAGCUGUGCAGGAGCCGAAUCCUAAAGGCCACGUACUAUACUAUCUACCAAGCUAGGGCUAGCGCUGUGUCUGAAGGCGUAGGGACAUGCCUUUCCCGACCACUAGGCAAUACUACCGAAUUUGGCUUUGAUGCGUUCUGCUUCAUCUAAUAUAAACCUCCAGCUCUUCUAACAGCAAAGACUGCCACCGUUUCCUCGUGUGUGUGUGUUUCAUUCUGACACCCCACCCCGCAUUCUGAUAUUUCUUUCUCAUUCUGGUUCCACCCACCCUCCCAUAUUCUGACUUUCAAGCUACUUGAGACUUCCGAUUCCUACCAAAGACCGAUUCCAAUAACUGCUGGCGUUGAUGUUUUCAGAGGGAGAGAGAGGCCAUUGCCUUCCCUGCUCCCAGAAUGCUUCACGGCCAGGACAAACAGUGCUUUGGGACAAACAGUGAUUUGCAAUGGACAGAAAUCGCUGUUAUGACGCCAGCUUAACAAGCAAGAGAUGGAGCUUCCGCUACGUCGUCUAACUAACGCAUAUUUUAUUGGACUCUUUUCUUCUUUCCCCUCAACUUCGUGUUGUUUAACAUCGAAGUUGGAGAAGAUUCCUGUAAUACUGGAAAGUGAGUUUACCGUUUUGUGAUUUUUAAAAUUUUAAAUUGGAACAGCUAAUGGGACUCAAUGAAACUUCUGAGUAAACGUGCCUGUAUUGUUGUUUCUUUGCAAAUAUAUUCUUUGCAAAUAUAUGAGAGACGGUUAAGACCAGAGAUUUUGUUCAGCCUUGGAUCUAAUCCAUCCUGGCGUGGGUUGCUCUCUUUAUUUUAAUUGGCUGUAAGUGCAGAAAGAGAGGGACGUCUGGAGGAGCUGCGAGCCAUCCCUGCAAUAUCUCACUGAUAAAAAAGGGAGGGUGUAUUACAGAAAACUGUAUACAUUGCCUGUAAGGAAACGGUGGCUUACAACGUGCAAACAGCAGCUGUUUGUUGUGUGCUCCAAGCCGAGGGAGGCUAUGGGUGGUGUCGGUUUCUGGAAUGUGUCUGAUAUCGCAGGACAUCUGGAGCGCAGGCCUCCUGCCUCUCUGCCACAGGUUUCCAUGGGUGGCCUUGGUCAGAUCCUACCAUGAGGUUAUUCGCUUGCAGCACCGACUAUUGCCCAGUCAAUCACCACGGGAAUAUUCAGGUGGAAGAACCGGGGCUUUAGCUCAAUGGGCAAACACGUGCAAGUUCCCUUAGUGGCAUAUUUAGGGUUAAAAAAGAUCAAGUAGCAGACUCCGGAGGACUAGUCAGAAUAUAGACCCAUCAAGCUGGGGCUUGAUAAAGAGUCGUAGCCCAAAACAUCUGCCCGGCACCAGUUUGGAGAAGACUGAAAAAGCAAUGUUGGGCUAGAUCGGGGUAGCCAACGGUGGCCUCCAGAUAGGGUUGAACCAUAAUUCGCAUUAGCCGCACCCGCAGUCAAUGUGGACUACAGCUCCUAUCAUCCCUGAUGAUCAAUGGCUACGUUGGUUGGGGCUAAUGGAAACUGCAGUCUAGCCAUAUCGGGAAGCCACCACGGUGGCUAACUCUGGACUAGAUGGGAGAAGGAGAAACCACGUGGUAUAAAACAGAUCCCCGCUCCUCACAGUGGCAGGUGAGGAAACGGAGAAAGGGCAGCACAUUCAAAGCCGUAAUUGCAGUUUGACAUUUCGAUCUUAUACGCCGCUUGUUUGAAAUCGGCGUACUGUACUCCCAAAACAUCAUGGAUGAAAGGAAAGAGCUGGGCUUAUUAAUGGAGCUGUGGUCAGAGUGGGGGCAGGCCACCACAGCUCUAAACGUGGACCCUUUUGUCCAAGAGGACUAAUACAAUGGGCGUAGCCAGGGUUUAUGGGGGGGCAGGCUUUAUGUUGGGAGGUGGCAGAACCUCGUUAUUUGUGACGCAAUUGGUCAGUUAGUUAAGUACAGUGGUACCUCGGGUUAAGAACUUAAUUCGUUCUGGAGGUCUGUUCUUAACCUGAAACUGUUCUUAACCUGAAGCACCACUUUAGCUAAUGGGGCCUCCCGCUGCCGCUGCGCCGCCGGAGCACGAUUUCUGUUCUCAUCCUGAAGCAAAGUUCUUAACCCAAGGUACUAUUUCUGGGUUAGCGGAGUCUGUGACCUGAAGCGUAUGUAACCUGAAGCGUAUGUAACCCGAGGUACCACUGUAUUUCUAUUUAUUUACUUGAGUUAGGGGGGGCAGUAUUGUCUCUGACUAAUACUUUCAAAAAAGGGGGUGUCUAGUCAUGCUGUUUGUUCUUCGGCUUAAGGAUUGUCCUCCACCCAAGGCGUGCCUUAAUAUCCUCAGAGGUCGAUUUGAUCUAGGACUCUGCCUCGGGACGUGCAUUAUCCGUGAUAAAAUGGGGAAAGAUGCCACUGGCCUGUGGACUUCAUCCUGCCCCAGUUUAAUCUGAUCGCGGGGCUUGGCUGCACAGUAUCUGUUAGACUAGUCCCGAAUGGUCGAACAAAAAGAGUCUCCGAAGUUCACGUUGGCGUGAAACAAGUUUUCUUCCUUCUAACCUCGGUGCCUUUCGGUUUUGAGUCUCUGAUUGGUUGGUGGUAUCUUAGCAAAGAGAAACCUGGCCGUGAACGUUGCCCAAGAAAGGGUUUGGAAUCUUUCCCAUUUCUUGCACGGCCUGGGCUUUUGCUCAGAUCCGGCGCGCAGGCGUUUUGCUCUGGGACCGUCCCCACUCCUGCCUCGUGGAGAAGCGAACUGGACCAGAGCAAAGGACGGAUACCCAAUUCUACUAGCAAAGACGGGAGAAAUGGACCAGGGUGUCGCUUUCUUGUCACUCUCCCGGUGUUCUAUCAGCCCGUGUGGAAUGGCGCUUUCCGUUUCUGUCUCCCAGUCCGUCUGAACACUUUCGCAGGCUGUCUGUAGUGGACAGUACAAGGGGCCGAGCAAUGUUAUCUCGGCAAGCUCAUAAAUGUAUUCAGAUGUUGGCUUAUUCAAUGGAGUCUGUUAUUGAGACUGAUGCUGGCAAGGUUAUUAGGAUUAAGGGAGCAAAUGAAUCGUGUGAUCGUUAGAGAAUCUUGAAAGGAGGUUAAUUCCAGCGCAGCGUUGCCUUGUGUCCCAUAGCGCGGGGAUAAUUGUAUUUGACUGUCUCCGAAAAUCAAUUUGGUCGUCCCUGACUGACUUUGAAACGGGGGGGGGGCACUUUACUUUGCGCACACCUUUACAGACGUGCACAAGCGCAAUAUAAGGAACGGGAGCCUGAGUAUAUAAGUGUAUGGGUAUGAUUCCUUGGUAAAUGAAUAUUUGGUCAGGAGCCUUGUCUGGCUGUGAGAUAGUGCAACAUUCUCUGAUCCAAAGCACUCCCUGAUGCACUACUAUUCUACCUGCAGGGAUAUAUUUACACAGCAGUGUUUUGUUUUGUUUUUAAAUGCCCCUCAUCUGUUGUCAGAAGUGACAUUGUUAUGCAAUCACCUCAUUUCCCAUUCUUUCUGUGCGCUGGGGUAGCGCAUGCCUUAGGCUUGAGUCUUGCAAUCUACCAUACAGGGUGAAAGAGUUCAGCUCAGCCUUUUCUAUUAUACGUCGAUAUUUUUGUUGUUGUUGUUUAGUCAUUUAGUCGUGUCCGACUCUUCGUGACCCCAUGGACCAGAGCACGCCAGGCACUCCUGUCUUCCACUGCCUCCCGCAGUUUGGUCAAACUCAUGCUGGUAGCUUCGAGAACACUAUCCAACCAUCUCGUCCUCUGUCGUCCCCUUCUCCUUGUGCCCUCAAUCUUUCCCACAUCAGGGUCUUUUCCAGGUAGUCUUCUCUUCUCAUGAGGUGGCCAAAGUAUUGGAGCCUCAGCUUCAGGAUCUGUCCUUCCAGUGAGCACUCAGGGCUGAUUUCCUUAAGAAUGGAUAGGUUUGAUCUUCUUGCAGUCCAUGGGACUCUCAAGAGUCGAUAUUUUUAAGAAACAAUAAAUGGGGGAAGCAUUCAAAGAUAUGAUCCCCUGGUUUAUGUGUCCGCCCACAAUCUUAUUCUGCUAAAAUGACUGUUUAUGAAUGUGAUUAAAGAACAAAACAAAAAAACAAUUGGCUUCAGAAGCAUAACAGAUUUGAUCUUUCUUUCUCUUGCUAAAUCAGGGAAAAUCUCCAUUCUUUGAAUAUUACAGGAACGCCAACUGUUUUAUGUGAUCUAAUCCAAUCCUUUACGCGGGGAUUCUUCAAACGGUUUGGGAAUAUAAGCAUUUUUGGUUGACCAAAAAUAGCCUUUCCUAGAAUCCCUAAUUCUGUCUAGGGAGACAUUUUAACCAUUUUAAAUAGCAGUCAUUCUCUAAAAAAUAAAAAACGUUAUUCUAAAAACAUUCCAGCUGCCCAUUUCUCUGCCUCGGUCUCUCCUAGAGACGUGUGCCAGCCAGCCUGAGUCAGCCCGCGGGGCACAGCAUCCCUCGGGUUAAUAAUGCGAGGGAACUCGAGCGCCACCCACCGCUUUCUUUUGGAAAAGCAAGAAGAGCGCGCAGAACAUACUUUUGGCACAGUUCAGGGCUGCGCUCCAACCGGGCCGAGUUUGCCAACUCCAGAGUUCUUAGGGGCUCUCCAGAGAGCGAUUUGAAUGGGAAAUACAUCGGAUGGACUGCAAUAAUCACUUCGAAACGCCCUGUCGGCAAAUAUCAGUGGGAAAGACUCGGCAAAAAGGUGUUAAUGGCGAAGCUGCGGUUUGCCAAAUUCUGGCAUCAGUACUAUGACUUAAGAUGGAGGUAUAAAUAACCGACAAAAGUGAAUGGAAAUUUCCAAAACGGAGCGAGGAAGAGAUUUAAGAAGAGGAUAAUGGUCUAUAAGGUGAACAGGACAUAAUGGACACUUAAAUAAAUCCUGUGUUUUUGGAAGUCCUUUCGUAGAAGGAAGGCACAUUGAGUGAACUUCUCAGAAUAUGUGCUUGGACUCGCAACCUUAUUGAGUUAGGAACAUGUGUCUUCGCCGUGAUCUAUGCGGUAUAUAACAUAUAACAUGAGAAAUGAUUUAAGAAUCCCAAAUCCAUGCUUGUGGCUUUGCCCUCAAUUAACAGCGUGAUAUACUGUUUCAAGAUGUGCUAUGUUGUUAUGCGGCCCUUUAAAGGCUAGCCGAUUUAUCGUGGCACCCUUUACACGCCCUCAAAUGGAAGGGCGUUUACCCGGGAAAAUGAGUAUAGGACUGCCAAAAGGGCAGGUGACUGUGGCAAGCGGUGUCUUGGCCUAGAGGACCCUCAAGAGGAAUUGAUCGGGAACUUAGGGAGCAACUGGGACACUGCAAUAAAAUGUUGCAGUUGGGAGUUCUUCUCUUGACCGCAGGGAUGGGGAACCUUUGGCAUCCUGAUGCUGCUGAACUACAACUCCCAUGAACCCCAGCAAGCAAGGCCAAUGGUCAGGGAAGAAGGGAGGCGUAGUUCAGGAACAUUUGGAGGGCCAGAAAUUCCUCAUCACUGGUUUAUGGUUGUAGCAAUCGCUUUUCAUAUCCCGGUUUUCGCGCGGGGUGUGUCUUUCUCUGUCUUUUUAUGCCAAGAUAAGCUGGUGCCACAGUAAACAUGUUAAUCUUGCAAAGUGCCAAAGAACUCUCUGUGUGUACUUAGAAUCACAGAAUUGUAGAAGGGACCCGGAGGGUCAUGUAGUCCAACCCCAAGAAUCCUGCCCACAAGCCGUCCCUAGCUGGGCUCGAACCACCAACCUUCUGGUUAACAGCCAGAUGCGUUGUGCCACUGGGGCUCCAAACAUGACUUUCUUCAAAAAAAUUGUUUGCUAACAAUAUGUACGCAGAGAAUUGUGGUGUCUCGCUCUCUGCCAGGUGCUGAACCCGUCUUAACAGAAGCCAGUCUACUGGUUUAGGGUUCCAGGGGGUGUUUGAGGCGUGGGGCGAACGCUCCCCUCCACAGUCCCGUCGAGGCUCUCCUUCGGCCCUGGCUCUGCCUUCCCUCUGAAUCCUGCUUCUCCCUUCCUCUCCGCCUUGCGCGCAUUUGCUUGGAAUGCGUCCCAUUCAUUCCAGCGGGAUUUCUUCCUGCUUCGGAAUGCAGCCUAAAACUCCCUCUGCAAAGAGUCCUAGGCCAGCCCUUCACACAGCCGGCCUCUGAUCGCGAUGGCUAACGAGGAUGUGAAGAACCCGGGGCGGGGGGGAGGUGAGGGGUCGUCGAUUCCCCGCGGGAGCGGCGGAUCCUUUGACACCCCAGUGACUCCCCCGGCCGGGCCCACGCUCCAGCCUUGCUCGGACCCACCGAGUCCUCGGUGCGCAGCGUGACCUCGCUCCCUGAUCGUCCCAGCCAAAUUGGCUUCGUCGUCUUCCCCUCCUCUCCGGAAUGACAUAUCGCUGGAGCCCUAAUGAAGAUGAAUAAGCUGCUUCCAGAAGCUGUUGACAGAUCGUCCCAAUAGGAAGGGAGGAAACACACACCGCAUAAUUGCUCCAAAUACCAGAAGACACGGUUCGGUUGGGAAUUGGGGCGGGGGGGGGAGGAGAGAGAGAGAUGGGGGUAGAUCUUCUUAUGCGGAAGCCAAGCGAAAGAGCUGGGAAAGGCAGGAGCAACGAGAUAGGUCUGACUCUGAGCCCAAUCCUGUCAAAAGUUCGGCUCCUGUGUAAACCUCUCCCAGUCAGCAGAGGCUUAUGAAGGGAGGCCAAACUCGGUGCAGGAUUGGCUGUUAAUAAGGCCCUGCUCUUGAUGAACUGUGUUUGGGAUGCAGACCCACAGAACUGAAAGAUCCUCCCUAUCCACCCCUCCCAACUGGGGGUUUCCCCUGAUUUUUUAUUCUUCUCCAAAUCUUCGGGUUCCCCAAAUCCAGACAGUACCUCCCUCCUGUCUUGGUGGUGGUGUUUUGGCUACAUAAGCAGCAUCACUCAUACCCUGGACUUCGAAACUUGAAGGAACAAGUGGACCCCUGUAAUAUUGUAAUUCAGUAUGGAGUGCUUCUGUUCAGAGUUUCAACAACUCCAUCCAUCCAUCCAUCCACUCCUCCCUCCUUCUCUCUGGUUUUCUGCUCCUGACCUCCCUCAACAGCCAGUCUGCAUUCUGUGUCCAUAUUCAACCCUCAUUGGGUUGCUGUGGGAUGGGAUUCCUCUUCCCUGUCAGAUUUAAUUUGGAACCCAUAGCAUCUAAGUGCCUUCCACCCAAUGUUUCACUGUUUGCAUAUGGCAUUAAAGGGCAACAUAGAAUCAUAGCCAGUUGGGCAUCCCUAAAGCAGAUCUUGAACUCAUUUAAGUUAUGGUUACCAGAUUUUUUUUCAAUGAAUCCGGGGACCCUUUUUUUUUUUUGGAAGCUGAGUAGCAACAGAGAGUCAGUAGUGGGGACGGUGAGGCAAAAGACCCUUGGCCCAAGCACACAUGCAUAUUGUAUAAAGGUGCAAAGCCCUUCUUUCGCACCCUGUGAAACAGAAAUGCAGUUUUUUUAAAAACUGGGCAAUGGUGUGCUGCCCGCCAGUGACUCCCGAGCCUCCCCUGAUCUCUUGCCCCCUUCCUCCUUUGUUUUGACUGAUCGGCGGUCACGGGAGUCACAGGCAGGUGGCUGUUGCCCAGUUUUUUUAAAAAGCUCUGAGUAUUUAUGUUUCACAGGGUACAAAAGAAGGGCUUUGCACCUUGCCUGGCAGAGAAACCACACGCUUUGCGCCCCUCCUAGGCAACGGCCGCCCGCCCAUGACUCCCGAGCCUCCCCCGAUCUGUCAAAACAAAGGGGGAAGGGGGCAGGAGAUCUGUACUGCCAGACGUCCCUGGUUCCCCUUCGGCAGUGGUGGUGGCAGCGAGCAGUGAGCAGCUCCUGAAGCCAGCCAGAGUCAACUGCGCUACCAGGCUGGCUCCGGGCUGCUGAGACUGCCACUGCCACAUUUCCCAGGGACAGAUUUGCAAAUCCGGGCACUGUCCCCGGGAACCGGGGACGCCUGGUAACCCUAAUUUAAGUUGCCAUAGGAGAGUGGCAGCUGUUCGGUUUCAGAGAACUCCCUCUUCAGGCUGACUCAGAUGCUAGCACAUGACCACCCUAAGCUGAAUCGGUGCAAUGUUCAAAGUUCAAACCCUGAAAAUGUAACUCCAUGAAAAGGCUACACUGGAUAGUUCAAAGCGAAGUCAACAGUUGUUGUGACUUUCUUCCUCUAUCGCUUAGCGGUAGAGCAUCUGCCUUGCAUGCAGAAGGUCUCCGAUUCAGUCCCUGAAGCUCCAAGAGUCAAGCAAUAUUAAUGGUGAUGCAUAUGACAUCUCCCAUGUUCAGCCACAAAUCCACAGACACAUUGCAGACUGCCUGCAUGAAGCUUGGGGACCACAGGUUGGGAACCUCUAGUUUAGGAGAUUGCCAAUUCUAAAACUGCAUGCAUUUUACUGUGAAUUUGUUUUUAUCAUUCCUACCUCCUGUGUAGGUGUCAGAAAACCUCAGUGGUGGCUGGUGCACUUCAUGCUGGUAGGGUGGAAGGUUGGGAGACCAACAGUAGGUGGAGUCAGAGCCAAUGGUACAUACAUACAUACAUACAUACAUACUCACUCUAGUUUUCUCUCUCUUGCUCCCCACUUCCCACCAAGUUCUACAAGGACAAUGCUAUGACUAAGGAGGAGGAAGCUGGGAGAUAGUGCCACCCUUGGGCUUGUAAGUAAGGAGGGAGGGAGAUGGGGGUGGGAAAACUACCCAUUCACUUUAAUGGAUUAGCAUCCUCUGGAAAACCACACUUAAAUGAUUUGAACCUCAUCCAAUACCUACAACAACAUGGCACGUUUAACGCAGUAAGACCGUGACACACGGGACUUGGCUAUCAGGUAGGAUCUGAAAAAGAACUUUCCUCAAUGUAAGAAGGACUUGUAUGUGACCUUGAAGUCUUUGCCAACCCUCUGCCCAGCUAUGAAACACGUGGCAAAGUAGACUCUGACUGUAAGUGGUUUCUUUUAUUUCUAUUUUUUCCCCUUUCAUCCUACAGAUGAGCACUUGGUGGCAGUGUCAGCUUGAAAAGGCAUGUCAUAAAUUAGGCAGGGAUAUUAUGUAGGAAGUCCAUAAAGAUAGUUGGCUGCUUCAGCCUGCAUGAUCUUCCAUCCUCUCUCUCUCUGUUUAUCAUCUGGCCAGCUUGGGCAUGAGAUCACAGCUUUCUAUCACUUAAUACUCCCAAAAAUCAGAUGGGAGUGGGGUGCAUGGUAAGUUUUUUCUUCCUUUGGUACCUCUCCCCCCCCCCCCCAGUCAGCAUGGUUUCUCCACCUCCCUCAUAGGGUUGAUGGGAAAAUAUAAUGGGCCAAUGCUAUGAUCACCUUUGAGAACAGCUGGAUAGAAAUAUGGAUUUGGAUUUAAAGCAGCAUGGAGUUAAUUUUGCUUAUGGAAUGGGGCAUCUGUGCUACCAUGUCCUGGAAGCAGCUCCCUCCUGCCCUGAAAACCCCCUCCAGAUGCUUGGAGACCUUCAGAGAGGCCUUCAGGAGGUGCAAAGGGCUGCAGUCAGGGUUGGUGGCAGUGGAACCUGGUCCAUUAGGGCAGAUGGAGCAAUGCCCUACCAAUCUGUUUUCCUUCCACCACCCCCAGCAGUCUCCCUUCUUACACCUCAUCCAGUAGGUGGCACUGCCUGUCAGCUCUCUCUUCUUCAGUCUCUGUGUUGUCCUUGUAGAACCCAGUAAGGUAGGCAUGGGCCUAGCCAGUGUGCAUGAAUGGAAAGCCACUUCAGAACCCUUGCAUUCCAUGACAGCAGUAAGGUAGGAUAGGCACUGAAAAAGAGAUAGCCCGUUCUCUAUCUACCCUAGUCCACCAUCUGCAAUAUGGGGAUAAGAGCAUUAAUCUACUUUGCAGGGGUGUUGUAAGCAUCACAACAAGAGAAGUCAUGCAAAAUGCUUUGGACAUUUGAAAGUGCUAUAUAAAUGCUAAAUACUGCAGGGUAGCACAACUACCAUACAAACAACACCAUCUGCCCUGACGUAGCAUCUCAUUGGAAUUCAAGAAGUAUUUAGUAGUAGGAGAAUUGGUAGAAGAAUAAAUAUUUUCUAACAGGUUCCCUGAAGACUGACAGAAAGCUCCUAACUCAGUACUUGCUGUCAAUCAACUUUCGUUAUCUACCAAUUCAUUCUUACUAUGUAAUGUAAUUGUCUCAAACACUCACCUCCUAGAAGCCUGAUGAGUUUCUACACUUAUUAGAGAAAGGGUGGCAGUGUCAUCAGUAUACAAACUCUAUUUUUGGAAUUUGUAGAACUCUGUGAACUAAUGAGGAAUGUGUUUGCUAUGCAUAAGCUUUCCAGGAAGCCAUCAAAUGUUGUAUCCCAAAGAGAAAUCUAUACCGGAAAGCCAGAUACCACUGGGGUCCCCUGCCCUUCAUUAGGGAAAGAUAGCAAUGAGAACAGCCUGUUCAUAAUUCCACAGUAGUCCCACAGAGGAUCACAUUUCGAAUGUUAUGUCUUAUUUAACUGCAGGCUUGAGCCAGAAAUCCCAAUAUGACUGAGAAUGACUAUAAAUGGGCAAAAGCAGACUCUGUAUUUUACACACACACACACACACACACACACACACACAAAUAUGUAUAGGUGUGCGUGUGUCUGAGUGUGCAUCUUCCUUUUUGUACAGGGUUGCAUAUUUAUUUUAAUGUUCAUACGUGCAAUGUCUGUGCGGUUCUUUUGAUUAAUUUAUAUUCUUUCAAAAUAACACAUUGAUUUUGGGGGAAAUGCAGACAAUUAAGGCUGCAAAUCCAAGGGAGGUGGGGAAUAGGAAGAAAGCUCUAGUGUCUUAGCCUUGUACCUUGCCGUGUUUGAGAUGGUAGGGUAGAAGGAAGGGUGGAAGACUACUCUGCUAGGCUAUGUAGACAUUAAAGGUAAAGGGACCCCUGACCAUUAGGUCCAGUCGUGGCUGACUCUGGGGUUGCGGCGCUCAUCUUGCUUUAUUGGCCAAGGAGGCCGGCGUACAGCUUCUGGGUCAUGUGGCCAGCAUGACUAAGCCACUUCUGGCAAACCAGAGCAGCGCACGGAAACACCGUUUACCUUCCUGCCGGAGCAGUACCUAUUUAUCUACUUGCACUUUGACAUGCUUCGAACUGCUAGGUUGGCAGGAGCAGGGACCGAGCAACGGGAGCUCACCCCGUUGCAGGGAUUCAAACCACCAACCUUCUGAUCAGCAAGUCCUAGGCUCUGUGGUUUAACCCACAGUGCCACCCGUGUCCCUUAUGUAGACAUUAGCAGCUUAAAAUGCAAUGAGGUUGAUUUCCACCCUCCUCGCAUUUCAAGUUGCAUUGCACACUGCUGUACACACUAGAGAGAUGAUGGAGAUGUCCUCACCCAAUCCAUAUUACCUGUCUGGUUUCCCCACACCUGCAACCCCUCCCCGAACUCCUAUUCAUGAAACUGCCAUCUGCAUGUAUGGUGACCUCUGUGCACAUCUCUCAUGUACAGACCUCAGUGGCUUAAGUUUUGAAAGGGAAGCUUGUUGGAAGGGAAACACAUCAAGCAGCAAUAUUUCUCAAGAAGCUGCCAGAUGGAUAUGGGUCAUGGCUAAUGCAGUAGGAUUUUUGCUUUGCAUGCAAAAAGUCCCAGGUUCCAUCCCCAGCAUCUCCAAAUAGGGUUGGGAAUGCACUUGCCUGAAACUCUGAAGAACUGCUGCCGGUCAGUGUAGACAAUAGGGAGCUAGAUAGCCUGAAGGUCCCUCUCAGUAUAAGGCAGCGUUUGAUGUUCCUAUUUUCUACAGUUCUCUCUUAUACAUUUUGGUUGUUCCCUUCCUGUUCUCCAUAGUUCCUUCCAAGGGGAAUGGGAAAAGUAAGGAUUAAGGCUGCAAUCCUUACCUACAACAAUUAGGAUGAUGACUAAUAAUAAUAAUAAUAAUAAUAAUAAUAAUAUAUUUAUACUCCACCCAUCGGCUCCCAACAGAAUAUAAAAAAACACGAUAAAACAUCAAACACUAAAAUAUUUCCUAAACAUGGUUGCCUUCAGAUGUCUUCUAAAAGUCAGAUAGUUGUUUAUUUCCUUGACAUCUGAUGGGAGGGCUUUCCACAGGGUGGGCACCACUACCAAGAAGGCCCUCUGCCUGAUUUCCUGUAACCUCAUUUCUUGCAGCGAGGGAACCACCAGAAGGCCCUCGGAGCUGGACCUCAGUGUCCAGGCUGAAUGAUGGGGGUGGAGACGCUCCUUCAGAAAGUAGUGUGGUGUCGUGACAGACUAGGACCUGGAAGAUGAGGGUUCAAAUCCCCGCUUGGCCAUGAAACUCACUGGUGACCUUCAAUCUGACUUACCUCACAGGGUUGUUGUGGAGAUUACAUGAGGAGUGGGAAGAACCAUGCACACUACCUUGAGAUCCUUGGAGAAAAAGGUGAGAUAGAAAUGCAAUUAAUUCAUUAAUGGACAAUCAAAACUGACUCUUCUUAGCUCGCAUGGUGGCAGCAUCUUAAGAGAUAUUUGGCAACGAAGAAAAGAGUCUGAAUACAGUGGUACCUCAGGUUACAUACGCUUCAGGUUACAGACUCCGCUAACCCAGAAAUAGUCCUUCAGGUUAAGAACUUUGCUUCAGGUUGAGAACAGAAAUCAUGCUCCGACGGUGCGGCGGCAGCAGGAGGCCCCAUUAGCUAAAGUGGUGCUUCAGGUUAAGAACAGUUUCAGGUUAAGAAUGGACCUCCGGAACGAAUUAAGUACUUAACCUGAGGUACCACUGUAUACACUGAAGCAGCAAUAAUCCUAAACAGAAGCCACACGGAAGGCAGGGGAACUUGUUUCUGAAUAAGCAUGCCGGAUUUAAAAGUACAUACACACAUCUCUGGUGUAUAGCGUAUUCAGAGGCAAUCCUACUGCCCCCAUCCCCCGAAUCAGUGGGAGUUUUCAGAUCACCUAUUUGGGAGGAAGAUGGCCAUGAGGUAUGUUUUACAUGUGGGGAUGGGGGGAGAGAAACAUCAAAGCGUGCGCAAGGCACAAUGUGGGACACACAUGGGCAACUCCAGAGGCCUCACCGGCAGAAACGUGUUUCCUAGAGUUUUCCAGCUUCUCCCUCCACCCCACCCACCCACCCACGAUUUCUUUUCUUCACAGGCAGCAUAGCUCAAGGCCGUAAACACACCAUUAAGGUUCUGUUCAGAGGCAAGUGAAGGAAAGAACUCUAAAGAGACUUCUCCGUUCCAACGUUUCCAUUAAGUGACUAUUGAAGAGCCACUCGGGAAAAGUUGUCAGAUCCAUUUUGUUCACGAUCCAGUAGGAAUAAACAUCAAAAUAUG
Non-coding RNA from Podarcis lilfordi (Lilford's wall lizard), 25267 nucleotides. The record is from the annotation of a GenBank genome assembly. NCBI's taxonomy places the organism in Eukaryota, Metazoa, Chordata, Lepidosauria, Squamata, Lacertidae.